UGCAGCCAGGUUAAUAACUUAUAGGUUAGGAGCCGAAGGGAAACCGAGUCUUAAAUAGGGCGAAAGUUGUAUGUUGUAGACCCGAAACCGGGUGACCUAUCCAUGUGCAGGUUGAAACUAGAGUAAAAUCUGGUGGAGGACCGAACCCAUUAGCGUUUAAAAGCUACGGGAUGACGUGUGGAUAGCGGUGAAAUUCCAAUCGAACCCGGAGAUAGCUGGUUCUCCUCGAAAUAGCUUUAGGGCUAGCCUCAAGGAAGAGUAUCGUGGGGGUAGAGCACUGACUGGUCUAGGGGCGUUAUACGUUACCGAAACCUAUCAAACUCCGAAUACCAUAGAUAUGUUGCCUGGGAGUCAGACUGUGAGAGAUAAGUUUCACAGUCGAAAGGGAAAGAGCCCAGACCACCGACUAAGGUCCCCAAAUACAGAUUAAGUGGAAAAGGAUGUAAAACUACACAGACAACCAGGAUGUUGGCUUAGAAGCAGCCAUUCAUUUAAAGAGUGCGUAAUAGCUCACUGGUCGAGUGGUUUUGCGCCGAAGAUGUCCGGGGCUGAAAUCUGUUACCGAAGUUGUGGGAUGACGUGUAUUUCUUCAUAAGUUUAACGAAGCAAAGGACUUAGGACAUCUAAGUUCGAAAUCCAACCUUAAUCUAAAUUAGGAAUAAAUCAAAGGAUUUCGAAUAGAUGCUUUUAAGGAUGAAAUCAAGUUAAGUUAAGCGGAUGAAGAAAUAUACGUCAUCGGUAGAGGAGCAUUGUGUAAGGGUUGAAGUACUAUCGAAAGAAGUUAUGGACUUUACACAAGAGAGAAUGUUGGCAUGAGUAGCGAAAGGGGAGUGAGAAUCUCCCCCAUCGAAAGCCUAAGGCUUCCUGAGGAAGGCUCGUCCGCUCAGGGUAAGUCGGGACCUAAGCCGAGGCCAAAGGGCGUAGGCGAUGGACAACCGGUUGAAAUUCCGGUACCACCUUUAAGCGUUUGAGAGAUGGGGUGACACAGAAGGGUAGGCUGAGCGCACUGAUGGAAUAGUGCGUCCAAGUAAGUAGGGAGAUGAGGUAGGCAAAUCCGCUUCAUCAAUCCUGAGAUACGAAGGGGAGCGAAAAUAAGUAGUGAAGCAGCUGAGCCCAUGCUGUCGAGAAAAGCCUCUAUCGAGCAAGAAGGUGCCCGUACCGCAAACCGACACAGGUAGGCAAGGAGAGAAUCCAAAGAUGAGCGGAAGAACUAUUGUUAAGGAACUAGGCAAAAUGACCCCGUAACUUCGGGAGAAGGGGUGCCGUGAGGUGUGAAGAUUGAACAAUCGGAGCAUCAUGCGGCCACAGAAAACAGGCCCAAGCGACUGUUUACCAAAAACACAGGUCUCUGCUAAAUCGAAAGAUGAAGUAUAGGGGCUGACACCUGCCCGGUGCUGGAAGGUUAAGGGGAGAAGUUAUCGCAAGAGAAGCUUUGAACUUAAGCCCCAGUAAACGGCGGCCGUAACUAUAACGGUCCUAAGGUAGCGAAAUUCCUUGUCGGGUAAGUUCCGACCCGCACGAAAGGUGUAACGAUUUGGGCACUGUCUCAACAAUAGAUCCGGUGAAAUUGUAGUACUCGUGAAGAUGCGAGUUACCCGCGGCAGGACGGAAAGACCCCAUGGAGCUUUACUGCAGGCUGACAUUGGAAUUCGGCAGCAAUUGUACAGAAUAGGUGGGAGACUGAGAAGCCGGUACGCCAGUAUUGGUGGAGUCACCUUUGGGAUACCACUCUAUUGUUGCUGAAUUUCUAACAUGGUACCGUGAACCGGUACAUGGACACUGUCAGUUGGGCAGUUUGACUGGGGCGGUCGCCUCCGAAAGAGUAACGGAGGCGCUCAAAGGUUCCCUCAGCACGGUCGGAAAUCGUGCGAAGAGUGUAAAGGCAGAAGGGAGCUUGACUGCGAGAGAGACAUCUCGAGCAGGAACGAAAGUUGGACUUAGUGAUCCGGUGGCACCGAGUGGAAAGGCCAUCGCUUAACGGAUAAAAGCUACCCUGGGGAUAACAGGCUUAUCUCCCCCAAGAGUCCACAUCGACGGGGAGGUUUGGCACCUCGAUGUCGGCUCGUCACAUCCUGGGGCUGGAGAAGGUCCCAAGGGUUGGGCUGUUCGCCCAUUAAAGUGGCACGCGAGCUGGGUUCAGAACGUCGUGAGACAGUUCGGUCCCUAU
RNAcentral lists this ribosomal RNA (2167 nucleotides) under bioreactor metagenome. RNAcentral describes it as "bacterial LSU rRNA". It matches the Rfam family "Bacterial large subunit ribosomal RNA", at positions 636 to 2641 of the family's 2925-position model. The record is from RNAcentral.